RNAcentral lists this ribosomal RNA (558 nucleotides) under uncultured marine ciliate. RNAcentral describes it as "partial 18S ribosomal RNA". It matches the Rfam family "Eukaryotic small subunit ribosomal RNA", at positions 447 to 1019 of the family's 1831-position model. The record is from RNAcentral. Lineage: Eukaryota; Ciliophora.
CANNNNGAUUCAGGGAGGUAGUGAAAGAAAUAAUGAACUAGGAUUUAUCNUGGGGUCAGAAUGGGCUUGAUUUGCAAACUUUAUUUAGCGAGGAACAAUUGGAGGGCAAGUCUGGUGCCAGCAGCCGCGGUAAUUCCAGCUCCAAUAGCGUAUAUUUAAGUUGUUGCAGUUAAAAAGCUCGUAGUUGGAUUUCUGGCAGGACUCUAAUGUCCGCUCGUUGCGUGUGCAUAUGAGUCCUGCCAUCCUUCUGUUAACUGUUCUGGUAUUCGUUUACUGGUUCAGAACCCAGAUAUUUUACCUUGAGAAAAUUAGAGUGUUUCAGGCAGGCUUGCGCUUGAAUACAUUAGCAUGGAAUAAUAGAAUAGGACUUUGGUCUCUUUUGUUGGUUUGAGGGACUAGAGUAAUGAUUAAUAGGGACAGUUGGGGGCAUUAGUAUUUAAUUGUCAGAGGUGAAAUUCUCGGAUUUGUUAAAGACUAANNUAUGCGAAAGCAUUUGCCAAGGAUGUUUUCAUUAAUCAANNANNNNAGUUAGGGGAUCAAAGACGAUCAGAUACCGUC